ACAGUUGGGGGAAGGCAAAGCAGAAAAUUCCGUUUGCUUACCGCACCUGAUGUUCUUGCAUCAUGGAGUACCUGCUUGAUUGUGAAUUAUGAAUUCUACGGAAUCACCUUGGAUAAAGGUUGAAAGUAAGUCUGACCGCGCUGAGAGGAAGUCUGAGACUUGAAGGAGACAUUGGCAGAAGACUGACCUGCUCUCCCUUGCGUUUGCAGCCUAUAAGAAUGCAGGUACAUGCUUCGGAACUGGUGCCGAAGUAGAGGUUGAAGGUUUCUUCGACAUUGAUCCCGAGGUUCUUUUAAUUGACUUAGUCGGAGACCUUGGUGAUGGAGUGGCUGGUAAGGCUAAUGACGGAAGCUCCGGGCAGUAAAUGGUAUUUUAGCGGCACAGGAGACACAGCGCUUAAAAGGGCCUGAGGAGGCCAAAAAUUAAUUACGUUUCCUGGAGAAAAUAUAGACGAAAAUAACUCACAGGAAUCAUAGCGUAAACAAGUCCAAAUAUUGCCAAUCAAGAAGAGGAAACCGAGACAGUCCAAAGUCAAACUGUGUAAGCUCUAUGAAUGAGGUCAUUACUCUGUGAAGAAAAAGCAAGAAACGGCAAACAGUCCAAGAUCAAGCCGGGAGAUAAAGUGCAAUAAAGUCCAAAAGGCAAAAAUCGUGGUCAAAGGUAGUCCGUAGUCUUGCUUCUAGUAUUGCUAAACGAGUUA
This is a non-coding RNA of Pogona vitticeps (central bearded dragon), 700 nucleotides long. NCBI's taxonomy places the organism in Eukaryota, Metazoa, Chordata, Lepidosauria, Squamata, Agamidae. The record is from RefSeq and is a predicted model, not a curated record.